CAUCGAUCUCGCCGCCCCCAGUUUCUCUCCUUACCAAGUCACCAUCUCGCCUUCUCAAGUCCUCCACAGCAGCAAGCGAGCAAGCCACCUCCACCUCAGUACACUUAUCCGAAUCUUUACGCCGGAGUGAUCAGUAGCAAACAUUAUGAAGAGGCAAUCAAAAUCUGCUGCUACUAGUUCCGGUGCUAAUCCGAAAUCAACUUCUUCAUCUCAGGUACCAAUCUAAAUCUCUACAGUUUGUUUUUCUGUAACUAUCAAC
Long non-coding RNA from Rosa chinensis, 259 nucleotides. RefSeq lists it as uncharacterized. The record is from RefSeq and is a predicted model, not a curated record. The transcript has 3 exons. Lineage: Eukaryota; Viridiplantae; Streptophyta; Magnoliopsida; Rosales; Rosaceae.